This 288-nucleotide signal recognition particle RNA is filed under the name Rhinolophus ferrumequinum (greater horseshoe bat). Its description in RNAcentral is "Metazoan signal recognition particle RNA (ENSRFEG00010019329.1)". It matches the Rfam family "Metazoan signal recognition particle RNA". From Rfam's summary of the family: The signal recognition particle (SRP) is a universally conserved ribonucleoprotein. It is involved in the co-translational targeting of proteins to membranes. The record is from RNAcentral. Lineage: Eukaryota; Metazoa; Chordata; Mammalia; Chiroptera; Rhinolophidae.
GCUGGGUUUGGGGCUCGUGCCUAUAGUCCCAGCUACCCGGGAGGCUGAAGCAGGAGAAUCGUUUGAGCCCAGGAGUUCUGGUCUGUAGGACACUAUGCCCAUUAGAUGUCCGCACUAAGUUCAGCACCACUAUGGUGACCUCCCAGUAGCAAGGGACCACCACAUUGCCUAAGGAGGAGUGAACCGAUCCACGACGGAAACGGAGCAGGUCAAAACUCCUGUGCUGAUCAGAAGGCAAAAAUUGGGCCAUUUUUAGAGAAUAAUUAGACAAUAUAUAAAAAUAUGGUU